Molecule: transfer RNA, 73 nt
Filed under: Myotis davidii
Lineage: Eukaryota; Metazoa; Chordata; Mammalia; Chiroptera; Vespertilionidae
Rfam family: tRNA
About the family: Transfer RNA (tRNA) molecules are approximately 80 nucleotides in length. Their secondary structure includes four short double-helical elements and three loops (D, anti-codon, and T loops).
Source: Rfam by way of RNAcentral
GCCGGUUUGGCUCAGUGGAUAGAGCAUUGGCCUGCAGACCAAAGGGUCCUAGGUUCAAUUCCAGUAAAGGGCA